GUUCUCGCGACAUUUUCAACAGUCACGUUUCGCACGUCGCCAGGGUGCGACGAAGCUUAAUAAUUCGUUUGGUGAAUUUAUGUGUUCAUAAUAGAAAAUAUCGAACACUUUAAGGAAUCCAUCCGUGCUCGUGCGUCUGCUGGCUAUCUACAUUCCAGAUUGUUUACAUUGGUCUGGCUGGGACAUUUAAACAUAAUCCAUCCAACCACCCCAACUCGCCAUGGAGGGCUGUCAGAUGUCCUGUUCAUUUUAUGCAUGCAAGAGGACCUACAAUAGUCCAGAGGCACUGAAUAGUCAUCUGCAGGACCAUCAAAAGAACACUGCCCAGUCGCUUCCUGGGAAAACUUUUCUGUGCUCUUCAAUAGGAUGUGAUGGUUCCUUCAGCAACAUGCAGCAGCUCAUGGAACAUAUGAGGCACCACCACAAGCCAAAUUAUUAUUUCCUGUGCGAAAGCUGCAAGGCCAAACUGCGUUCUUACCGUACCCUUCUCAAACACCUGCAAACCUGUGCUAAGGUUGCCAAGAACAAAGCUGCAAAGAUAGAGACUGGAAUGGCACCUGAUGCAGAUCCCACUGGUGUUCCACUCAUAACUGGUGACAUGGAGCAAUCUGGAUCAUUCUUAGACACACAUGGAUCAGAGGAGAUGGAGUCUAAGCCCUCUCUGUCCCCAUAUCCAACCCAGCAGUCUCCAGCAAACAAUGUUUUCAUGAACGCCACAUCCGUUGGCCCUGCAACUCUGCCCCUUGCCACUCUAGAACCUGCCUUAACCCCAAAUCUUCCCUAUCAGCCAGAAUCGCCCUACAGUCCUUAUCCACCCGCUCUGUCUCCUGUUAACCCAGCCUUCCUGCCAGAUCCAGGCCUACAGCAGCAGCAGCGGUCUCCCAGGUCUGGUCCUCCAAGUCUGCCCUCUUCACCGACACUGCCAUCAUCUCCAGGGUCAAAUGCAGUCUGGAGGAAGAACCAAGACCCGCCCGGGCCCCUUUUGCACAGAUGGAACUCUCCAAGCAGUCAGAGUUUAAGUAGAGAUGAAGUCCAGGUCAGUCUUUCAACUUCCGCAUCCUAUGGGAACACACCAGAGGCCGAUACAGUUGCCUACAGUGUGGCCACUGUACCCCAGACCGGGGGGAGAUGACGGCACACAUCAACCUGCACAAGAACUCAGGGUGCAAUGUGAAUAAUGAUACUGAUCCAGAGGUUGGCACCAGUUCCUUAAUGGCUAAGACUUCACUACACUCGGACAACUCAACGUAUACACAGCUUUAACAUGAAAUGAGAUGCUAAACUUACAGAUUGACAAAGUUUGUUGUAGCUUGCGAUUCAGAGAGAAACUUAAAUAUGUUCAUUUCACUGGCCUCCUAGCAUCUCUAUGGUCUGGAACUGUCCAGUAAUCACUGUUCAAACAGAAGUAGGGAAAAAAGUGCUGCAUAUACUAUGUGUUUGUGGGUCAACUAUUCUCAAACCCAGACAAUAUGUCUUGCUUGUCUUUCAACAAAUAAUGUGGAAUUGUAUAUAAUAUCAGUAUUUAUUCGGUCUUUGUUUUAAUCUUUUUGGAGCAGGUUGUAGACAUUUGUAAUCCCAGAUAGCACACGUACAUUUCAGAGAUGACUGUUUAAGAGCGUUUCAUCUGGAAAGCAUUAUGUUAUAAUCAACAUUUGCUAAACAUCUUAAAAAGAUCAGAUUUACAAACAUUCUAAAUCAUAAAUGUCUCAAAGAUAUCUGCUGAAUGUCUUAUUGACAUCCAAGAGGAAACGUCUUAUAGACAUUAUUGCAGAUGAGCAAACAACCUA
RNA transcript from Myxocyprinus asiaticus (Chinese sucker), 1787 nucleotides. It is a transcript of the gene named zinc finger protein 414-like, with no coding region annotated. The record is from RefSeq and is a predicted model, not a curated record. Lineage: Eukaryota; Metazoa; Chordata; Actinopteri; Cypriniformes; Catostomidae. The transcript has 9 exons.